GAUGAAGAACGCAGCGAAAUGCGAUAAGUAAUGUGAAUUGCAGAAUUCAGUGAAUCAUCGAAUCUUUGAACGCACCUUGCGCCCUUUGGCUAUUCCGAAGGGCAUGCCUGUUUGAGUAUCAUGAACACCUCAACUCUUCACGGCUUGCCGUGAUGAGUUUGGACUUUGGGGGUCUUGCUGGCCUACGAGCCAGCUCCUCUCAAAUGUAUUAGCUUGCCGGUGUUUGGUGGCAUCACAGGUGUGAUAACUAUCUACGCUUGUGGUUUUCCACUAGGUAACCUUCAGCAAUGGAGGUUCACCGGAGCUCACAAAUGUCUCUCCUUGCCAAGGACAGAUUUUGACCAUUUGAUCUCAAAUCAGGUAGGACUACCCGCUGAACUUAAGCAUACAAUAAGCGGAGGA
RNAcentral lists this unclassified non-coding RNA (402 nucleotides) under soil metagenome. RNAcentral's name for it is "partial contains 5.8S ribosomal RNA, internal transcribed spacer 2, and large subunit ribosomal RNA". The stretch from base 1 to 121 matches the Rfam family "5.8S ribosomal RNA", at positions 35 to 154 of the family's 154-position model. The record is from RNAcentral.